RNAcentral lists this ribosomal RNA (426 nucleotides) under Metagonia sp. USA2. RNAcentral's name for it is "partial 16S ribosomal RNA". It matches the Rfam family "Bacterial large subunit ribosomal RNA", at positions 1829 to 2597 of the family's 2925-position model. The record is from RNAcentral. Lineage: Eukaryota; Metazoa; Arthropoda; Arachnida; Araneae; Pholcidae.
UUCUUUAAGAAAUAAUUUAAAGUAUUUCCUGCUCAAUGUUAACAUCAAUAGCCGCAGUUUCACUGUGCUAAGGUAGCAUAAUCACUUGCUUUAUAAUUGAAAGAUAGAAUGAAAGGAUCGACGAUACAUCACUCUCUCAAAUCCCCAAAUGAACUUGACUUUUGUGUAAAAAAGCACAAAUAAAUAAAUAAGACGACAAGACCCUGAUAAACUUCAUCAUUUAAUUGGGGCGAUAACAUAAAAAUACCUUAUUUAUCCAACAACCACAACCAUUAAAAUAGAUAAAGACUAGUUACUACAGGGAUAACAGCGCAAUCUUUCUCUAGAGCUCACAUCCAAAGAAAAGCUUACGACCUCGAUGUUGAAUUAACCACCUAAUAUGGCGCAAAAGCCUCUUAAGAUAGUCUGUUCGACUAAUAAACAGUU